AGUGAACGCUGGCGGUAGGCCUAACACAUGCAAGUCGAACGGCAGCACAGUAAGAGCUUGCUCUUACGGGUGGCGAGUGGCGGACGGGUGAGGAAUACAUCGGAAUCUACUUUUUCGUGGGGGAUAACGUAGGGAAACUUACGCUAAUACCGCAUACGACCUACGGGUGAAAGCAGGGGAUCUUCGGACCUUGCGCGAUUGAAUGAGCCGAUGUCGGAUUAGCUAGUUGGCGGGGUAAAGGCCCACCAAGGCGACGAUCCGUAGCUGGUCUGAGAGGAUGAUCAGCCACCAUGGAACUGAGACACGGUCCAGACUCCUACGGGAGGCAGCAGUGGGGAAUAUUGGACAAUGGGCGCAAGCCUGAUCCAGCCAUACCGCGUGGGUGAAGAAGGCCUUCGGGUUGUAAAGCCCUUUUGUUGGGAAAGAAAAGCAGCAGGUUAAUACCCCGCUGUUCUGACGGUACCCAAAGAAUAAGCACCGGCUAACUUCGU
RNAcentral lists this ribosomal RNA (491 nucleotides) under uncultured bacterium. RNAcentral's name for it is "partial 16S ribosomal RNA". It matches the Rfam family "Bacterial small subunit ribosomal RNA", at positions 29 to 506 of the family's 1533-position model. The record is from RNAcentral.